Molecule: non-coding RNA, 91 nt
Organism: Morus notabilis
Lineage: Eukaryota; Viridiplantae; Streptophyta; Magnoliopsida; Rosales; Moraceae
Source: Rfam
CUGAUGGGGAUGAAGCAAUAUAUAUAAUCCAACACUUGAUCUGAGAUACAACUGUAUCGAUUGAUGCCAAAUGAUUUGCCUCUGAAUCUGC